RNAcentral lists this ribosomal RNA (497 nucleotides) under uncultured bacterium. RNAcentral's name for it is "partial 16S ribosomal RNA". It matches the Rfam family "Bacterial small subunit ribosomal RNA", at positions 28 to 507 of the family's 1533-position model. The record is from RNAcentral.
GAUGAACGCUGGCGGCGUGCCUAAUACAUGCAAGUCGAGCGAACAGACGAGGAGCUUGCUCCUCUGACGUUAGCGGCGGACGGGUGAGUAACACGUGGAUAACCUACCUAUAAGACUGGGAUAACUUCGGGAAACCGGAGCUAAUACCGGAUAAUAUAUUGAACCGCAUGGUUCAAUAGUGAAAGACGGUUUUGCUGUCACUUCUAGCUGGAUACGCGCCGCAUUAGCUAGUUGGUAAGGUAACGGCUUACCAAGGCAACGAUGCGUAGCCGACCUGAUAGGGUGAUCGCCCACACUGGAACUGAGACACGGUCCAGACUCCUACGGGAGGCAGCAGUAGGGAAUCGUACGCAAUGGGCGAAAGCCUGACGGAGCAACGCCGCGUGAGUGAUGAAGGUCUUCGGAUCGUAAAACUCUGUUAUUAGGUAAGAACAAAUGUGUAAUUAACUAUGCACGUCUUGACGGUACCGAAUCAGAAAGCCACGGCUAACUACGUG